GCACCUAGAACCAUGUCGCGUAUUUUAAA
Molecule: non-coding RNA, 29 nt
Filed under: Bombyx mori (domestic silkworm)
Lineage: Eukaryota; Metazoa; Arthropoda; Insecta; Lepidoptera; Bombycidae
Source: RNAcentral